AUAAUAAACCUCAACAUGGCAGUAAUAAGAGAUGACAUGACAUGGGCAUCCAGAAGACGAGUGUGCUUUUGAAGAUGGAAACUUCCAUCGUGGGCCUGAUCAGACACUGUUUAGGCUACUAGAAAGCCCUGCUUUAGCAUGAAUGUUGUGUUUUUGCCAGCUUUGAGGUGAUUAAUAUGGGAAAAGGUAUCAAUUAUUUUGAUAUAGGUGAGACCACCAAAGGAAUUCCACUGAAAACGAAGACUAUCUGUGUGCUGGAAUGUUUAAAUCACGAGGAGCACUACUUAGAAUGAAUUAGAUGACUUUGUAUGAGGGGUUAGACACUUAGACGCUGUUGGACUGUGUCUGGAAGGUGAGGCAGCACAUGGUUUAUAGGUUGAGAACAAGCAACCAUUUGCAGUCAAAUACUAACAAUUCCAAGGAUUGUUGAUGGAACACCCAACAGAACAGAUUCUUUGCACUAGAGCAAAAGGGACUAUACCUAGAGUGUCACAAGGCUUUUUAGAUGUUAGCAAGUAGAAUUCUGGGAUCCAAGAAGUUGAAGAAAAUGGCCAUAAGCGAGCUAAGGGUUUCUGUAACUAUUAGUUUGCGUCAGGGAACCACUGUUAAAACCAUUUUAGUGGAUGAGGAAGGUGGUGAUCAGGUUCAAGAAAAAGAAUGGGAAGAAAAACAGGGAGGCAGAAAGUCAAAGAAACACUUGCAAGUUGCGUUAUUCCACCUUGAGGACAAGGUGAUUUGUCGGUCGGCAGGAUCUUUUUAGGAAUAGGUCUUGAAGAAACAGUUGCCUUUCAAAAAAACCAACCUUUGUAACAAGGAUGUGUAAGAGACUAAGAGGUGCCUGGUAUUGUUGUACUUAAGAGGUACAUGAAUGCUGUUGGAGAAGAAUGAAACGAGGCACCAUUGCCCACUAUCAAAACCGAAGAGUUUCUAGGAAGAUGAAGACAAAGGGCAAUCAAAUACUAUCCAGGGUGAUAGUGGUACCAAUCGAGAGACUUGAGACUGAUUCAAAAGGUAAUAAUGGUAUGUCAACCAAGAUAUAUCAUGCAUGCCAAAUACGUGUGGCCGGUGUGGGAUUUACUAACUUGAUUGUAAGAGAAGCGUCCGAGAUCCCUUUGAAAGAAGAUUCGGCUGUUACUUGUUAUGCUUAGCCUUUCCAACUUAUGUGCUGUAUUGAUUCAUCUUCUGGGAAGAUUCUUCUCCUAAAGCUUCUCUGUUUCCAAAGAUUUUGGGUUUUUGUCUUUUUGACACAUAUCUUUUUAGUAUCCUUGUACCUUCUGCCACAAUGCUUGUUUUCUCUUAUGCAAAUCCUCUAAUAGAUCCAUAUUGUAUA
This is a long non-coding RNA of Erigeron canadensis, 1330 nucleotides long. RefSeq lists it as uncharacterized. The record is from RefSeq and is a predicted model, not a curated record. The transcript is spliced from 3 exons. Lineage: Eukaryota; Viridiplantae; Streptophyta; Magnoliopsida; Asterales; Asteraceae.